GGGGAGUUGCCCGAGUGGCUAAAGGGGGCGGGCUGUAAACCCGCUGGCACUGCCUACGGUGGUUCGAAUCCAUCACUCCCCACCA
RNAcentral lists this transfer RNA (85 nucleotides) under bacterium. RNAcentral's name for it is "tRNA-Tyr". It matches the Rfam family "tRNA". From Rfam's summary of the family: Transfer RNA (tRNA) molecules are approximately 80 nucleotides in length. Their secondary structure includes four short double-helical elements and three loops (D, anti-codon, and T loops). The record is from RNAcentral.